RNAcentral lists this signal recognition particle RNA (91 nucleotides) under Aeriscardovia sp. RNAcentral describes it as "signal recognition particle sRNA small type". It matches the Rfam family "Bacterial small signal recognition particle RNA". Rfam says of the family: The signal recognition particle (SRP) is a universally conserved ribonucleoprotein involved in the co-translational targeting of proteins to membranes. Archaeal SRP consists of a 7S RNA and homologues of the eukaryotic SRP19 and SRP54 proteins. In most bacteria, the SRP consists of a 4.5S RNA and the Ffh protein (a homologue of the eukaryotic SRP54 protein). Lineage: Bacteria; Bacillati; Actinomycetota; Actinomycetes; Bifidobacteriales; Bifidobacteriaceae. The record is from RNAcentral.
GCGCCUCCGUGCGGUGCCAUCCCGCCGAACCCCCCCAGGGCAGAAAUGCAGCAAGGGCAGGCGGCUCAUGGCAGGUGCGCGGAGGUUUUUU